Molecule: long non-coding RNA, 317 nt
Filed under: Apteryx rowi (Okarito brown kiwi)
Lineage: Eukaryota; Metazoa; Chordata; Aves; Apterygiformes; Apterygidae
Description: lncRNA (ENSARWG00000003836.1)
Source: RNAcentral
GGGAGAUUCGGCUAUCCCGAGGACAAUUUUUUCAGAUUUUACGUUAUUCUGAGAGAGUUCUGUUUGUCUCUGAUAGCCACAGGGGAAAUACAGUGGAUCAAAAUGAAGAUGUGAAUUCCUGUGCGGGAAGGUGGCAUAAGCUGAAAUAAACAAUAUCAGUAGGAUGAAGAAUAAAAAUCUUGGUGAUGGUUUUCUUUAAGUUAGAGGUUGCAGAUGGUUUGCUGCUUUGGCAAUUAUUUGAGGUUACAGGAGUAGAGAAAACACGAUUUCCUGAUGCCCAGGUUGGUGUGAAAAAAGUAGAGGCUCAAAGCUUCUUU